UCAACGUGACGACGUCAAGGCGUUUCUUUGAUCUUGUUUAAAUAUUAAAUUACGGAUCCUGUUUCAUACAUACCACAUUAGUUUUCCGAUUUAUUUAACGAAAUCGCUGUAUACCUACUCGGAAAGGUAACAAAAUUCUUCGAAGAUCAAGCAGGUGGUAUAAAAUGAUAGUUACAUCUGAAAUGGUUACUGGGAACAUAUUUAUAAACAAAGAUCAGUGGUGUAACAUUAGAAAGAAACCAUUAUAAAACUCCUAAAGGGCAUCAAUCAUGGAUCAUAACACGGAGAUAGUAUCAUUUUCUCCAUUAGUUUGGCAAAAAAAACGUGUGAAAAGACCGUGUACCACACACCGAUGAUUGAUACGUCUGGGUAGCCCAUCGAGUAUGAUGAAUGACUCCAAAUACGUCUUUACAAUUACUUAAUAUACUUAUCCAUAUCACUAA
Long non-coding RNA from Bombyx mori (domestic silkworm), 443 nucleotides. RefSeq lists it as uncharacterized. The transcript has 2 exons. NCBI's taxonomy places the organism in Eukaryota, Metazoa, Arthropoda, Insecta, Lepidoptera, Bombycidae. The record is from RefSeq and is a predicted model, not a curated record.